RNAcentral lists this ribosomal RNA (495 nucleotides) under uncultured bacterium. Its description in RNAcentral is "partial 16S ribosomal RNA". It matches the Rfam family "Bacterial small subunit ribosomal RNA", at positions 28 to 507 of the family's 1533-position model. The record is from RNAcentral.
GACGAACGCUGGCGGCGUGCCUAAUACAUGCAAGUCGAACGCUGAAGGAGGAGCUUGCUCUUCUGGAUGAGUUGCGAACGGGUGAGUAACGCGUAGGUAACCUGCCUGGUAGCGGGGGAUAACUAUUGGAAACGAUAGCUAAUACCGCAUAAGAGUAGAUGUUGCAUGACAUUUACUUAAAAGGUGCAAUUGCAUCACUACCAGAUGGACCUGCGUUGUAUUAGCUAGUUGGUGGGGUAACGGCUUACCAAGGCGACGAUACAUAGCCGACCUGAGAGGGUGGUCGGCCAAACUGGGACUGGGACACGGCCCAGACUCCUACGGGAGGCAGCAGUAGGGGAUCUUCGGCAAUGGACGGAAGUCUGACCGAGCAACGCCGCGUGAGGGAAGAAGGUUUUCGGAUCGUAAAGCUCUGUUGUAAGGGAAGAACGAGUGUGAGAGUGGAAAGUUCACACUGUGACGGUAUCUUACCAGAAAGGGACGGCUAACUACGUG